Non-coding RNA from Rattus norvegicus (Norway rat), 629 nucleotides. Lineage: Eukaryota; Metazoa; Chordata; Mammalia; Rodentia; Muridae. The record is from RefSeq and is a predicted model, not a curated record.
GGAGUGGGUCAGGAGGAGACCCCAGGACCCACGCCGAGCAGAUGGCCGUGUCGAGGCGGAGCCCAUGAGCGUCAGGGGAGCGGGGGAGCCAAUCCCUCCCUGCAGCAGCGCGGGAGCGAGCCAACGAGAUGUACUCCAAGCUGGCUAGCCAAAAUUCAAGGAACGAAGUUCACAUGAUUAAAAAAACAAAAUAAAACAACAACAACAACAACAGGACUUGACUCUUCAACAGGAAACUAUAUGAACUGGGAAGCAGAAAGUGCAGCUUUUCAGGAGAGAGGCUUGACUUUGAACUCUCAACUUUUGAACUCUUCUUGGUCUGCUUGUCUGACUCCACUACAGCAACGGUAGCAUUGCGUCGGCUGCAUUUCAUAUCAAAAUGUGUCUCUGAGAGGGAGACAAGAGGAAGUGAUGGUUACCAGGAAGAUGUUCCCUCCUCAGUUUGUCAUUGAGACUAGUUUUCUCCUGAGUCAGAGCAUCUUUUCCUUGUGAUGUUUCCUCGUGCUAACAAUUCACUUAGCAGCUUUCUCUGCUGCUGUUGCCUCUGUGUCUAAAUGUCCUUCGGGCUUUGACCUUAAACUAUACAGUGGCCAAUAGUUAAAUAAAACUAGAUAGUAAUUUCCCCUGAA